RNAcentral lists this ribosomal RNA (85 nucleotides) under Flavobacterium sp. The record is from RNAcentral. Lineage: Bacteria; Pseudomonadati; Bacteroidota; Flavobacteriia; Flavobacteriales; Flavobacteriaceae.
ACCUCUUCCCAUUCCGAACAGAGAAGUUAAGCCCGACAGCGCAGAUGGUACUGCAUAACUGUGGGAGAGUAUGUCGCCGCCUUGU